This 465-nucleotide ribosomal RNA is filed under the name uncultured bacterium. Its description in RNAcentral is "partial 16S ribosomal RNA". It matches the Rfam family "Bacterial small subunit ribosomal RNA", at positions 338 to 795 of the family's 1533-position model. The record is from RNAcentral.
CCUACGGGAGGCAGCAGUGGGGAAUUUUGCGCAAUGCUCGUAAGAGUGACGCAGCGACGCCGCGUGAAUGACGAAGGCCUUCGGGUCGUAAAGUUCUUUCGACAGGGAAGAAAAUGCCUAUAAGUAACUGUGUAUGUAUUGACGGUACCUGUAUAAGCAGCCCCGGCUAACUCCGUGCAAGCAGCCGCGGUAAUACGGAGGGGGCGAGCGUUGUUGGGAGUGACUGGGCGUAAAGAGCACGUAGGCGGUGUUGUAAGUCAUUAGUCAAAGACUAGAGCUCAACUUUAGUAAGGCUAGUGAUACUAUAAUACGAGAGUAUCAGAGAGGAUUGCAGAAUUCAUGGUGUAGCGGUGAAAUGCGUAGAUAUCAGGAGGAAUACCGUUAGCGAAGGCGGCAAUCUGGCUGGAAACUGACGCUGAGGUGCGAAAGCGUGGGUAGCAAACAGGAUUAGAUACCCGAGUAGUC